AUUGAACGCUGGCGGCAGGCCUAACACAUGCAAGUCGAGCGGAUGAAGGGAGCUCUCUCCUGGAUUCAGCGGCGGACGGGCGAGUAAUGCAUAGGAAUCUGCCUGGUAGUGGGGGAUAACGUCCCGAAACGGGCGCUAAUACCGCAUACGUCCUGAGGGUGAAAGUGGGGGAUCUUCGGACCUCACGCUAUUAGAUGACCCUAGGUCGGAUUAGCUAGUUGGUGUGGUAAAGGCCUACCAAGGCGACGAUCCGUAACUGGUCUGAGAGGAUGAUCAGUCACACUGGAACUGAGACACGGUCCAGACUCCUACGGGAGGCAGCAGUGGGGAAUAUUGGACAAUGGGCGAAAGCCUGAUCCAGCCAUGCCGCGUGUGUGAAGAAGGUCUUCGGAUUGUAAAGCACUUUUAGUUGGGAGGAAGAGCAGUAAGUUAAUACCUUGCUGUUUUGACGUUACCAGCAGAAUAAGCACCGGCUAACUUCGUG
This 484-nucleotide ribosomal RNA is filed under the name uncultured bacterium. Its description in RNAcentral is "partial 16S ribosomal RNA". It matches the Rfam family "Bacterial small subunit ribosomal RNA", at positions 30 to 507 of the family's 1533-position model. The record is from RNAcentral.